RNAcentral lists this non-coding RNA (148 nucleotides) under Chlorocebus sabaeus (green monkey). The record is from Rfam by way of RNAcentral. Lineage: Eukaryota; Metazoa; Chordata; Mammalia; Primates; Cercopithecidae.
GCUGGGCAUGGUGGCACAUGCCUGUAAUCCCAGCUACUCAGGAGGCUGAGGCAAGGGAAUCACUUGAACCCAGGAGACAGAGGUUGCUGUGAGCCAAGAUCGCACCACUGCACUCUAGCCUGGGCGACAAAGUAAGACUUUGUCUUUU